UUAUUAGCAUUUUAAGGGAUUGUCGGAGCAUUCCCAGGGUCUGAGGCCGCGCUUUCAUUAAGAAGCGAGGCGGCUCCAUUCAGGCGUUAUCUGAUGGGAUCUGUUGUGAAUUUAUUGGGGCAUCAAGCGGGCGCGGCGCGGGCGCAGCCGGUGUAGCGCGGUAGCGGCCUUAAAUUCAACAAUUUAGUACCUCUCAUAAAGCGGGCAGUAGCCGCCGCCGUCACCAAUAAUUUCUCUUAUUGUCUCGAUAAAUUAGCUUAAUUAGGGUGUAAAAAACGCGGCGAGCGUGGAAUCUAGUGCGGAGACGCGGUGGGUGGGCGCGGGCCCUAAUUAGUGGCGGGACGACGCUGCCGCCGCGAUAGCCCCGGCCGAGAUAACGCGCGGCUCACCUGGACAGACACGUCUAUCUAAGUGAGCCUAAGAAAAUACCUACAGGACAAGAACGACCCUGUCUCAUCCCGCGCAGGCGCAUCUACCAGUACUGCCUACACCCUGCUGAUCAAUAGACGAGGCUCCGGUGAGACAACCGCAUGCAGCCAUUAUAUAGUGGUCAAGUAUACCUCGACGACAGCACGAUCCAGCGGGGGCGUGGCCGGGUGCGCGCGCGCAGGAAUGCCGCGCCUGCUCUCCGCACCCGCAGCCCGCAGCGCGCAGCCCCGCACACAGAGGCCGCGCUGUGUGCUGUAUCAGCUGCGUCCAUGCGCGGCAAUCAAAGCCGCCGCGGACACCGCCGCGUAUCGCGCUCAUCUCUAUACUACCUCGUACGUGACCAGCAAUAAAUACCCAUGGAACUAAUAACUUUUCAGAGGUAUUCACUUAACUCAGAUUAAUACUAACAAUUAAGAUAAACGAAUUAUAGGCUACGCUGUUGUAUUUCUUACUAUAAAACAAUAUACUUAAUGAAUAUUUUGAUGACAGUUAAAUACAAAUUAUGAAACGAAUGGCAUGGCAACUUUAGGUAAUUGGGAAGAUGUUCGCGGGUUGGAAGGUCAGACGGGCAGUCGCUUCUGUAAAAAACCGGUCCUGUCAAAUCUUCAGGUUAGGUUAGCGGACUCGGGACCUGUGAAAACGGGACAAUGCUAGGGAGUAGGGAAGAUGUUUUGGUCGAGAUAAUCGUUGGGUUAACUUAGGCCAGACACUUAGGUGGCGCAAGCCUAGCUUAAUAGGAGUAACAAAAUGAUAUUAAAUGGGAUAAUGAGGCAUUGUGGCUGUGAAGGUGGUUCAUUAUCGGAUGUUGAGGAGCAGCGGCAGCAGACAAUCGCGCGGCGACAAUGCCGACACAAUGCGCCCCG
Pectinophora gossypiella (pink bollworm) is the source of this 1292-nucleotide long non-coding RNA. RefSeq lists it as uncharacterized. The transcript has 3 exons. Lineage: Eukaryota; Metazoa; Arthropoda; Insecta; Lepidoptera; Gelechiidae. The record is from RefSeq and is a predicted model, not a curated record.